Molecule: ribosomal RNA, 166 nt
Filed under: Trifolium incarnatum
Lineage: Eukaryota; Viridiplantae; Streptophyta; Magnoliopsida; Fabales; Fabaceae
Also listed under: 1 other name
Description: 5.8S ribosomal RNA
Rfam family: 5.8S ribosomal RNA
About the family: 5.8S ribosomal RNA (5.8S rRNA) is a component of the large subunit of the eukaryotic ribosome. It is transcribed by RNA polymerase I as part of the 45S precursor that also contains 18S and 28S rRNA. Functionally, it is thought that 5.8S rRNA may be involved in ribosome translocation.
Source: RNAcentral
AUAGAAUGACUCUUGGCAACGGAUAUCUAGGCUCUUGCAUCGAUGAAGAACGUAGCGAAAUGCGAUACUUGGUGUGAAUUGCAGAAUCCCGUGAACCAUCGAGUCUUUGAACGCAAGUUGCGCCCGAUGCCAUUAGGUUGAGGGCACGUCUGCCUGGGCGUCACAU